Meriones unguiculatus (Mongolian gerbil) is the source of this 2159-nucleotide long non-coding RNA. RefSeq lists it as uncharacterized. NCBI's taxonomy places the organism in Eukaryota, Metazoa, Chordata, Mammalia, Rodentia, Muridae. The transcript has 5 exons. The record is from RefSeq and is a predicted model, not a curated record.
UCAUGGAAGGAACUUGAGGGAGAUGCCCAGGUAGAGGCAUAUUCGAGGUACUCAGUAUUUUACCCUGUCUCUCAGGGCAACAGGGGAAGACAAGAACAUUCAACUUCUGUCUCAGGACUUUGCAGACUUCUACCUAUUCAAUACCCCAUUCAAAUGCAUCAAAGCUUCACAGAGUACUGGAUCAGGCUUCUAGCUCCCCUGCGAAUGAGAUCUGUUUUGUAAACAAUUGGUAUGCACUGUUUUGACAGCUCAGACAAGAUCUUGGAGAUUCGGAACAAAAAAGGAAUAGAAAAUUAUUACUAAAAUCUACAUGGCUCAAAAGAUGGGAGGAGCAUUUGAGUCUUUGCCGUUUGGGAAGAUCCUGAGAAGACCCAAACUCUGUCAAUCCCCCCAGUUAAGCACUCAGAGACAAGCUGUUCCCCUACCCCUUUCUGGAGACACUCGCUUAUCAUGCCUUUAGUGGAUGAUGCCAAUGCCUCCUGAUGCUUAUAAUCCAGAGACUGUUCGGGGAUGCAUCCUCCCAACAAAGAAUUGCGGAAGCCAGAACAUCUUUGGAAAAAGAAGUCCGAGGCUGCUUCCUCUGCUUUGUACUAAGUGGAGAACUCUGAACAGCCUCUAGCCACUGAAUUCCAACCUGGCCCCACAGCACUAAGAGAGACAGACCUACCAUCUCUGUGAUGCAAGGCACACUCGCUGUCCUGGAGUAUUCCGGUCUGUCACCUUUGACAGAAGCUAAACGUGCUGUGUGAGAUAUGCUGCAGCCAAAGUGCUCCUUUUGAGUUAUCUUUUUUUCCCCCUAGCCCUGGCUCUUUUCCUUUGUUCCUUGCCUCUUCUCCCUCAUCCUCUGCCCCCUGUAUUUGUCUCUUAUUCCCUUCCCUGUGUCCCUCUGGAGCACAUACAUCUCCUUUGUGCUGAGAACCUGGUGUUGGGGGCCCUGGGCCAAUACAGAUCAGAUGGUACAGAGGAAGAGGCUGAACAGAGUCUAGAUUAUGCAAAGUCCAUGCCCCUUUGAGGAUUUGAGCUGUAUUCCGAGAGAAUACCACACCGCUAGGAGAAUUUUAUGUGGGAUACUAUGAUAGGAUUUGGUUGUUGAAAACAUGGCUACAAACAUGACCCAAUGGACUAAGGCUUGCCCCCGUUUGGGUGGAGAAACCACCCGAAGAAAAAAGGAUUUAUCCUUUUAAGGGAUGGCCCAAAGCACAUCUUUGCUCAUGGGUGAAGGAGCUCACUGGAGGUGAAUAUAAGAGACUUAAAACUGCCGAAGUGCAAGACAAAUGAGAGCAGGAGAGCCAGCAUCUGCCACUGAAGCAGCAGGAACCUGGCAGGGCUCUUAUUUCUGCAGGGAAGCAAAGACACCAACCCCUCGGAAGCAGUUGACUGUCGCUGUGAUAAAAUACGACUAGAAGCAUCUUAAGGAAGGAAGUUUAUCUGGGCGUAUGUUUCCAGAGGGGGCGCACACGAUGGUAGGGAACACACCGGCAGCCAGAAUAGGAAGCUGAGAGCCAGUGGCACACGGAGCAAAGAGACCAAACUGCGAGCGUGAUGACAUAGACGCUCUGGAAGCCAGCUCACAGCGAUGUACUUCCCCCAGCAAGGCUUCACCACUUGAAGGUCCGGGUAAUCUCUCCACGCAAUGCUACUAGAAGGGAAGCAAGUUCUCGGUUAUCAAACACGGAGCGUGUGGGAGGGCCCAUCACUCAUUCAAAGCACCGCACCCCCUGACUCUCAGACUAUGUGAAGGAACUGCAUCUCACCUGUGUUCUCUCUAGCUUGGAGCAGGAGCUUGCUUUAUGAGACAGGGUUAUCACCAAAAUAAGUCUUACUGCCCUGAUAACCAUCACAUUUAGAGAAUGGUAUACCAAUUCAUUUUACCCGAUGUCUUUCCUCAUCCCCUUAUUUCUGGGAACAGGUCUCGUGUAAUGACAAGGCUUCCCCAUUUUCCCUGAGUUGCCUCGGUCAGCGCAUUUCGCAUGCGCGCUUCAGGUCAGCAGAGUUGAAUCAUUACUUGCCUCCCGUGUCCCUAAGGUGAAAGGAUGGUCAUGAGCAUGACAUAUUGACCAGACCAUCUUCAGUAUUUCACUAGCAGCAUAACUUUGGGAAAUUUAUUUACACAACACAAAACUCAAUUUUCUCAUCUGCGAUGUGAACAAAAUAGAAAC